CAGUAGGGUGCCAUCAAGAGGUGUGUUUGGAAA
This 33-nucleotide ribosomal RNA is filed under the name Enterocytozoon bieneusi. RNAcentral describes it as "partial large subunit ribosomal RNA". Lineage: Eukaryota; Fungi; Microsporidia; Enterocytozoonidae. The record is from RNAcentral.